UAGAGUUUGAUCCUGGCUCAGAAUCAACGCUGGCGGCGUGCCUAACACAUGCAAGUCGAACGCGAAAGGGGCUUCGGCCCUGAGUAGAGUGGCAAACGGGUGAGUAACACGUGGGUGACCUGCCUUCGAGUGGGGGAUAACGUCCCGAAAGGGACGCUAAUACCGCAUGACAUCCUGCUCUUGGACGAGCGGAGAUCAAAGCCGGGGAUCGCAAGACCUGGCGCUUGGAGAGGGGCCCGCGUCUGAUUAGCUAGUUGGUAGGGUAAUGGCCUACCAAGGCGACGAUCAGUAUUCGGCCUGAGAGGGCGGACGGACACACUGGGACUGAGACACGGCCCAGACUCCUACGGGAGGCAGCAGUGGGGAAUUGUUCGCAAUGGGCGCAAGCCUGACGACGCAACGCCGCGUGGAGGAUGAAGAUCUUCGGGUCGUAAACUCCUGUCGAGCGGGAAGAAUUCACGCCUGGCUAACAUCCAGGCGGGUUGACGGUACCGCUAAAGGAAGCCCCGGCUAACUCCGUGCCAGCAGCCGCGGUAAUACGGGGGGGGCAAGCGUUGUUCGGAAUUACUGGGCGUAAAGGGCUCGUAGGCGGCCAACUAAGUCGGACGUGAAAUCCCCAGGCUCAACCUGGGAACUGCGUCCGAUACUGAUUGGCUUGAAUCCGGGAGAGGGAUGCAGAAUUCCAGGUGUAGCGGUGAAAUGCGUAGAUAUCUGGAGGAAUACCGGUGGCGAAGGCGGCAUCCUGGACCGGCAUUGACGCUGAGGAGCGAAAGCCAGGGGAGCAAACGGGAUUAGAUACCCCGGUAGUCCUGGCCCUAAACGAUGAAUGCUUGGUGUAACGGGUAUCGAUCCCUGUUGUGCCGAAGCUAACGCAUUAAGCAUUCCGCCUGGGGAGUACGGUCGCAAGGCUGAAACUCAAAUGAAUUGAC
Molecule: ribosomal RNA, 929 nt
Filed under: uncultured bacterium
Lineage: Bacteria
Description: bacterial SSU rRNA
Rfam family: Bacterial small subunit ribosomal RNA
Source: RNAcentral